This is an unclassified non-coding RNA of Pongo abelii (Sumatran orangutan), 148 nucleotides long. It matches the Rfam family "Metazoan signal recognition particle RNA". Rfam says of the family: The signal recognition particle (SRP) is a universally conserved ribonucleoprotein. NCBI's taxonomy places the organism in Eukaryota, Metazoa, Chordata, Mammalia, Primates, Hominidae. The record is from Ensembl.
GCCAGGCGCAUUGGCAGGCGCCUGUAAUCCCAGCUACUUGGGAGGCUGAGGCAGAAGAAUCACUUGAACCUGGGUGGCAGAGGUUGUAGUGAGCUGAGAUUGUGCCACUGCACUCUAGCCUGGGUGACAGAGUGAGACUCUGUCUCAA